UUGUCCCGUGUUGCCAGCGGUGCGGCCGGGCACUCACGGGAGACUGCCGGUGACAAACCGGAGGAAGGUGGGGAUGACGUCAAAUCCGCAUGGCCUUGAUGGCCUGGGCUACACACGUGCUACAAUGGCGCCGGCAAUGGGGGGCGACCGCGCGAGCGGGAGCGAAUCCCGAAACGGCGUCGUAGUUCGGAUCGCAGGCUGCAACUCGCCUGCGUGAAGCCGGAAUUGCUAGUAAUCGCCCAUCAGCACGGGGCGGUGAA
This 260-nucleotide ribosomal RNA is filed under the name uncultured bacterium. Its description in RNAcentral is "partial 16S ribosomal RNA". It matches the Rfam family "Bacterial small subunit ribosomal RNA", at positions 1105 to 1366 of the family's 1533-position model. The record is from RNAcentral.